AUGUAAAGUAAAAUUCAGAAGACUUAAACAAAGUCCUAAAAACAAUCAAACAACUAAAUUAGUGCAAGUAGAGCUGAUUUAUUUAUCAAAACACAAUAUAAUCAUCUUCAUUAAAGUAUUUUGUAUAUUCGAAUUAAUUUAUAAAUGUAAGUGUUUAAAAAUUAGAGAUAGGUUUUGCCGGUUGUUGAUGAGUGAUGAAUACCAGCUGUGAAUUUUCUCAACGCGUGUAAGCAGCCAUGACACAGGAAACCGAAAUAGUGUUCCAAUAUAAUGUGAGGGUCCUUGACAGUGGCCGAACCCGCAUACUACACGAUAUAAUGAUUCCCCACCUCGGGAGCUAUAGGGAACGAAUUGAGACACAGCCCUGGAUGUAAUCACGUCUGUGCUGAUCACGUGCCUGUACACAAACCCGCCGCAGCUCACUUGCAAAAGAUUAUCCUGUUAUUUAUUACACGUAUAGUAAACGUUUUUAAUGUUAUCAUGAAUCAAUGUUAUAGUUUUGUAUGUCACAUUAUUUUUUGAGAAGAGUCAUGACUCAACGCGGACCUUACACGCUGUUAAUUUGUGUGUGCAUAUGGCGGUACAGGCUCUUUUGCACUCUAUGACCAGCCAUCAUUAAAUCGAAAUACAGUAAAAAAAAUGAGCGCGAAACCCUGACACUUUACAGAAAGGCACGGAUAUCCCCGCCCGAAGAAAAAAAGAGCACAGGACAAUGGUUGCAAGUUAAACAGCUGAACAUUUCACCAUCUGCAAAUAACAUUUCACCAUCGACAUAUCAACAUAAACGGUCCUCUUUUUCGAGUUUGACUGCGUUUGGUACAGGUCACAACAACAACGGCAGAUGUAGAGACCACACUUUCCCUUGCUUCCACUCCACGGCUGAUCAUGCUUGAGGAUCCAGAUCUACAAAACAAAAAAUGGAUGCUGCCGAUUGAAGGCUAAGUCCGCUUUCCUGCGAUUGACCUACCAUUUCUUCAGCAUUUGCUGUUCACUUUGGUUGCUACUACGUGCUCAACAUCGAGUACCAAGUGGAAGCAGCCACUACUUUGGAGUUUAUUCAGAGAUUUAUUGUGAGGAUCAGCCCCGACAACAGCAAGUGCUCCUCUAACUUCCAGGUGAGCAAAAGAAGUGGGAAGAUGGUGCAAAGGAAGAACUCUGGCCUGAACCAUCAUGUAUAUAUCCACCUUUAUUAAGGACUUUAUGAAUUAAGCAAAACUAUUAAGCAACUAAAGCAAAUACAUUCUACUCAACUCACCAGAGGUUUGUGAAGUUCUUUUUUUAUCUUAAAGGUUUCUUUUAGUUAAUUUGUCCAUGCACUGAUUUAUAAUAUUGUAAUAUGAAACUCCAGUGUAUACAUGUUACUACUGUUGCUUCUAAAAGCAAAAUAAGUCUAUGCAGGAGAGGUUUUGUUACGUUUUUUUUUUUAAAUUAUUCUUAUAGACGGUUUCAUCGGACGCACAUGACACACGUCUGGAUCCGAACCUUACUUCCGGUUUCGCUUUUUUAAUGGUCUGACUAGUUGCUAAACUGAUUUCUUGAACAAAAGCCUCGUCGAAAAUAACAUGUUUUGGUUUCCGAGCUAAUCUAUGUGUUGUUUUUUUGCUUGUUAUAUAAAUAAAAUGCGUUUAAAGAACUUUGUUGUUUUUUUAUUCUUAGCGGAGUUUAUCGGAAGUUCAUGCGGACCGCGACAGCCGCUUGUUUAUGUUGUUACUGAUGAAACCGUCUAUAGUUAUAACUGAAUUUGUACUAGUAUUAUUUGAUAAUACUGUGAAAUGAAACAGUGAGUAAAUGUAACAUUGGCUUUGAAAAAGCUGUUGCUGCAAGAAAUUACAAUUUACUCAGAAUAAUAUUUUGAAUGUAUAAGUUUUUGACAUUGCUUAUGACUACAUUUGAAUGUAUUGUUCAUGAAUUGAUGCUGUGAUAUGUGUGUGUAAAUGUUUUGUGUGUUACAGGAUAAAAUAUUUUAUUUUACUCAGGAAAGUAUUUUGUAUUUGAACAUUGUUAUUAUGACUGAGUUAGUUCAUGACUUGAUUUAAAAUUCUGUAAUAUGAUAUCUAUGAGUAAAUGUUAUUGCAGGUUUAAGAAAAACAGUUUGUGAUGCAAGC
Non-coding RNA from Misgurnus anguillicaudatus (oriental weatherfish), 2105 nucleotides. NCBI's taxonomy places the organism in Eukaryota, Metazoa, Chordata, Actinopteri, Cypriniformes, Cobitidae. The record is from RefSeq and is a predicted model, not a curated record.